GUCUAUGGCCAUACCACCCUGAACACGCUCGAUCUCGUCUGAUCUCGGAAGCUAAGCAGGGUCGGGCCUGGUUAGUACUUGGAUAGGAGAAGAUUAGCAUGUUGUUUAAG
RNAcentral lists this ribosomal RNA (110 nucleotides) under Ochotona princeps (American pika). The record is from RNAcentral. Lineage: Eukaryota; Metazoa; Chordata; Mammalia; Lagomorpha; Ochotonidae.